AGGACAAACGCUGGCGGCGUACCUAAGACAUGCAAGUCGAACGGAUUGCGUAUCUUCGGAUGUGCAGUGAGUGGCGAACGGGUGAGUAACGCGUAGGAACCCGCCUCGACGUGGGGGAUAACACUUGGAAACAGGUGCUAAUACCGCAUGUGGUCGAGAGAAGAAAGGCUUGAGCAAUCAAGUCGCGUUGAGAGGGGCCUGCGUCCGAUUAGCUAGUUGGUGGGGUAACGGCUUACCAAGGCGACGAUCGGUAGCUGGUCUGAGAGGAUGGUCAGCCACACUGGGACUGAGACACGGCCCAGACUCCUACGGGAGGCAGCAGUUAGGAAAUUUUGCCAAUGGGGGAAACCCUGAGCGAGUAACGCCGCGUGGAGGACGAAGGCCUUCGGGUUGUAAACUCCUUUUCUGUGGGACGAUGAUGACGGUACCACAGGAAGAAGCCCCGGCUAACUACGUGCCAGCAGCCGC
This 468-nucleotide ribosomal RNA is filed under the name uncultured bacterium. Its description in RNAcentral is "SSU rRNA". It matches the Rfam family "Bacterial small subunit ribosomal RNA", at positions 26 to 518 of the family's 1533-position model. The record is from RNAcentral.